AGAGUUUGAUCCUGGCUCAGAAGGAACGCUGGCAGCGUGCAUAACACAUGCAAGUUGAACGGGAUUGUUAUCUUCGGAUAACAUGAGAGUAGCGAACGGGUGAGUAACACGUAAGAAUCUACCUUUAGGACGGGGAUAACUUCUGGAAACGGAUGCUAAUACCCGAUAUGCUGUGGAGUGAAAGAUUUUUCGCCUAAGGAUGAGCUUGCGUCUGAUUAGCUAGAUAGGGUGGUAAUGGCACACUAUGGCGACGAUCAGUAGCUGGUCUGAGAGGAUGGACAGCCACAUUGGAACUGAGACACGGUCCAAACUCCUACGGGAGGCAGCAGUGGGGAAUUUUCCGCAAUGGGCGAAAGCCUGACGGAGCGACGCUGCGUGAAGGAUGACGGCCUGCGGGUUGUAAACUUCUUUUCUCGAAGAAGAAUCAAUGACGGUAUUCGAGGAAUAAGCAUCGGCUAACUCUGUGCCAGCAGCCGCGGUAAGACAGAGGAUGCAAGUGUUAUUCGGAUUGAUUGGGCGUAAAGCGUCUGUAGGCGGUUUAGAAAGUCUCUUGUGAAAUUCUUCAGCUCAACUGAGGGUCCGCAAAAGAAACUUCUAGGCUUGAGGGAAGUAGAGGUAUAGGGAAUUUCCGGUGGAGCGGUGAAAUGCGUAGAUAUCGGAAGGAACACCAAUAUGGCGAAGGCACUGUACUGGGCUUUUCCUGACGCUAAGAGACGAAAGCUAAAGGAGUGAUUAGGAUUAGAUACCCUAGUAAUUUUAGCCGUAAACGAUGGAAACUCACUGCCGAGCCGG
RNAcentral lists this ribosomal RNA (792 nucleotides) under uncultured marine bacterium. RNAcentral describes it as "bacterial SSU rRNA". It matches the Rfam family "Bacterial small subunit ribosomal RNA", at positions 8 to 831 of the family's 1533-position model. The record is from RNAcentral.